This is a long non-coding RNA of Oncorhynchus tshawytscha (Chinook salmon), 1603 nucleotides long. NCBI's taxonomy places the organism in Eukaryota, Metazoa, Chordata, Actinopteri, Salmoniformes, Salmonidae. The record is from Ensembl.
UAUGUUCUAUGUUAAGUAUUAUUAUUAUGUAUCACAUCCGACAUCCGACCGUGAUUGGGAGUCCCAUAGGACGCCUCACAAGUGUCCCAGCGUUUCUCUCCCUCUAAAAACAGAAAUACAUUUGUGGCCUUUAAAACACAUUAUUUUGGCCUUUAUUCAGAUUACAAUCGCUCACUUUCAUUUAAAAAAAAAAAUUAAAUAACCUCAUAUAAAAUUAUAGUGUAGAAAUGUUAUGCUCUUUUUGUAACCUUUAUGUAACUAGCCAACUCAGUUAAGAACAAAUUCUUAUGUUACAAGGACAGCCUACUCCUUCCUCGCCGUGGGGAAUUGAACCCCGGUUCUUUUGCUCAACGGACCGAAACAGUUUCCAAUGCAUUGUCAACGGAGUUUGUAAACCAACCCAGAUGUAAUAUAAUUCUAGCCACAUGUUGACUCAGUGGCGCUUCUCCAUGCAGGACAUGAGAGGGGGAGGGACUCACACUCUGUACACAGGAAUAGGUUCAUCACUGGUCACUGAGCUGGCAAGCUAAUGUUAGGUAGUUAGUCAUAGAAAUGUACGUUCAGCCUGUGAAUUAUUUCAGUCCGAUUUGACUUAUAUUAAGAAGUCAGCAUUGCUUAACAGUUUCUUUCGUUUUUGACCUCGACAUUGUUGCUGGAUAGAUACUUUCAUAUCUAACAUGCUGGUGAUGCUAGCCAGCUAACCUCAUAUCUGGAUGCCUCACUCUAGUUCCCGAUAGAGCAGCAUACUGGCCCUCCAUUCCCAAACUUGAAGCCCCCUGUCGCCAACUGGAAAGAACAGGAAAAAGUAGUGGCUUAAGAUCUGCCAACCUGCUCGGUGGGUGACAGGUAACCGUCUUUCCACCAAGCUGUUCCAGGCCUGGAGUGGAACUUCCAUAGGCUUGUAGACCUGAAGUGGUGUGAUGUUUGUCCAGAUCUGACACGCCUAUUAGCUCAACCACAGUCUUCACAGCUGCAGUCGUCUGCAUCUAAUACACCGGCCACGACAGGUGACACAGAUCUGCUGUAGUAUUUACUGCUGUCCACUGCUGUAGUAUUUAAUUUACCGGCUGCACCAGUUUCUACUCCACUGGCCGUGAAGGGAGAAACUUUUGAGGAUUCCCAGAUGGAUACAGAUCUGCCAUGCACUCCACCACUGCCUGACAACCUCACCCAGAAGUGCAUACACUGGGCCUUUCAAGACUGACAAAGCAGAGAUGGGUGGCUGACAAGGAAAAAUAAAACAACACGCGCACACACACACUCACACACACACUUUAUCCACAAUGUAAAUAAGUUGUAAUUGCUUGCUUAUUUAAUGAUUGCUCCAUUUUAUUUUAGGAUUGGAGAUAUCUACUCCUAUAUAUCCAUUAUCAAUGUCUGCAUAAUUACUCUAAAUAUCUAUCAAAUCAAAGUGGGAUUGAUAAUAUUAUAAAAGACUGUGUACAGUUUUAGGAAAUUCUGUGUACAUUUUUCUGAGUUGAAAAACACGCCUCCCUCUCACACACACACACUACACCCAAUGUAAAUAAAUUGCAAUAACUUGUUUAAUGUAUGUAUGCUCCACUUUAUUUUAGGAAAAUAUCUGUAAUAAAGUACAUUCACA